This 1314-nucleotide unclassified non-coding RNA is filed under the name Hevea brasiliensis (rubber tree). Lineage: Eukaryota; Viridiplantae; Streptophyta; Magnoliopsida; Malpighiales; Euphorbiaceae. The record is from RNAcentral.
GAUUCACAUCAUCUAAAGGACGUGUGAGUGCAUUCAACCUAAGAAUCUCAUUGUCCUGCACUUCAACAUUCUGCUGACUGACAAGUUUCUCAAGUAUAUGGUCUGCAGCACUAUUUGAAGGUGCACAGACAAGAACUCGAGCAUCUUUCCUCAUAAUACGUACCUGGAUGAUAGCUUCUAUAAGAGUCCUUGUUUUGCCUGUACCAGGAGGCCCAUGGAUAACAUAUGGAGCCCCUCCUUUGCACCCAAGAAUCUUUUCAACUGCAGUUGUUUGUUCCUUGUUAAGCAUACAUGAAUUAGGUGCCAGUCUAGCAGCUUGUAUAUUUCUCGUUCUGGAUAUGCCUGAUGGAAAGAGAAUUUCUCCAUUUAAGCUUUCUGUAGCUUCAAUGGCUUGAUGUAACCUCCGCACACCCGUACGAUUGAAUGAAAAUUGCACAUUGUACAGAUUUCCAGGAACAUGGUUGAUGUGGAAUUCUUCAUCAAACUUCAAAUAUACUUCUUCCGCCUCAACUCGGUGGAUAUAACCCUGGUAAGGGGUGAUCUCACUAGCAUCUCCAGAAGCUAGCCUUGCAAAGAUAAAAUCUCCAUAAACAAGUGAUGGCCUCCUCUCGGCUAGCCCUGGGACAUCAAGGGACAAGAACUGUAGUCCUUUGCGCUUCAUGGUGACUGACAACAUAUCAUAGUCCCUCAUGUCUUCCUCCAUCUUGAUUUCUUCAAUUGCUAGUAAAGUUCUAAAAUAAGCAAUAUAAUUGUCUCUUCUUAAACCUUCCCCAAUAACAUCAGGAAAUUGUUUGUUCUCUAUCAUUUCCCGUAUAUCACCUGGAAUUGGAUAUGAAGGAAGUCUGUAUCUGAAACCUCGAUUUGGAGCCCUUGUAGGACGGGAACCCACAACAAAUGCAUUUGCAGCAAAAACAUCUACUGCUGGUACUUUCUUCUUUCUGUCUCUGUGGAACGGCCUCCUUGAAGCCAGAGACUGGGAAACCUUAUCCUCAGCCAAGACAAAAACUAAUCUUUCUAUGGUGUCAUCACCCACAUUGAAAUGCACAGCUGAUGUGUGCAAUCCAAUUUCUUUGGGUUUACAAGUCAGCCAUACUGUAAGUGUUUGACCUGGCCGUAACAUUCUAUCCUCUAAGCUAAAGGAUUCCAUGAAUUCUUCAACAUAUUGCAAAUCAGAACUAUCAGUUGGAGGUUUCAUCAGAGAAAGAGUGAAUGAAUCCUCAGGUUUUGAGUUAUAGAUCUUAAUUGACCACAGCUCCUGGGUUUCAUUGGUGGUAUUCUCUAUUGUGACUGAAUCAACAACAGUUUCCCCAACAA